GCCCGGCGGGCGCAGGCGGCCCGGGCUGCCUCACGGCGGUGGGGUGGGGGAGCUGCCGACGGAGCUGCGCGGGGGCGCCGCCCGGGAAAGUGGAGACCCAGGUGCUGAGGAAAAAGGAAGAGACUAAGGAAAGACAUGGAAGAACCUGUAAGCAAGAUUGCUUGUGUUGGAUCCUGGAUGAACAGCAAGACCCAGUUUUCACUGCUGCUGGAAAUUUUUAAACAGCAAGAAGAUAAAUCUGUGGAGAAGGAAACAUACAAAGCUACAAGAUGGAGGAAGUGCAUUGUUCUUGUGUUCCAGUCAUGGAACGCUGACCCCUGGAAAACAGUGGUACUAUCAGCAUUAAGGGAGUGGAGGAAGGUGAAUCCUUGA
This 372-nucleotide long non-coding RNA is filed under the name Cyanoderma ruficeps (rufous-capped babbler). RNAcentral describes it as "lncRNA (ENSCRFG00000012077.1)". Lineage: Eukaryota; Metazoa; Chordata; Aves; Passeriformes; Timaliidae. The record is from RNAcentral.